This 253-nucleotide ribosomal RNA is filed under the name uncultured bacterium. Its description in RNAcentral is "partial 16S ribosomal RNA". It matches the Rfam family "Bacterial small subunit ribosomal RNA", at positions 524 to 776 of the family's 1533-position model. The record is from RNAcentral.
UACGUAGGGGGCAAGCGUUGUCCGGAUUUACUGGGCGUAAAGAGCGCGUAGGCGGAAGCUUAAGUGUGGCCUGAAAGCCCCCGGCUCAACCGGGGAAGGUGGCUGCAAACUGGGUUUCUUGAGGGCGAUAGAGGAGAGUGGAAUUCCUGGUGUAGCGGUGAAAUGCGUAGAUAUCAGGAGGAACACCCGUGGCGAAGGCGGCUCUCUGGACGGUUACUGACGCUGAGGCACGAAAGCGUGGGGAGCAAACAGG